UAGGGAAUCUUCCGCAAUGGACGAAAGUCUGACGGAGCAACGCCGCGUGAGUGAUGAAGGUUUUCGGAUCGUAAAACUCUGUUGUUAGGGAAGAACAAGUACGAGAGUAACUGCUCGUACCUUGACGGUACCUAACCAGAAAGCCACGGCUAACUACGUGCCAGCAGCCGCGGUAAUACGUAGGUGGCAAGCGUUGUCCGGAAUUAUUGGGCGUAAAGCGCGCGCAGGCGGUCCUUUAAGUCUGAUGUGAAAGCCCACGGCUCAACCGUGGAGGGUCAUUGGAAACUGGGGGACUUGAGUGCAGGAGAGAAGAGUGGAAUUCCACGUGUAGCGGUGAAAUGCGUAGAGAUGUGGAGGAACACCAGUGGCGAAGGCGACUCUUUGGCCUGUAACUGACGCUGAGGCGCGAAAGCGUGGGGAGCAAACAGGAUUAGAUACCCUGGUAGUCCACGCCGUAAACGAUGAGUGCUAAGUGUUAGAGGGUUUCCGCCCUUUAGUGCUGCAGUAAACGCAUUAAGCACUCCGCCUGGGGAGUACGGCCGCAAGGCUG
This 550-nucleotide ribosomal RNA is filed under the name uncultured Bacillus sp. RNAcentral describes it as "bacterial SSU rRNA". It matches the Rfam family "Bacterial small subunit ribosomal RNA", at positions 355 to 896 of the family's 1533-position model. Lineage: Bacteria; Bacillati; Bacillota; Bacilli; Caryophanales; Bacillaceae. The record is from RNAcentral.